Molecule: ribosomal RNA, 428 nt
Filed under: Acidobacteriota bacterium
Lineage: Bacteria; Pseudomonadati; Acidobacteriota
Description: Acidobacteria bacterium partial 16S ribosomal RNA
Rfam family: Bacterial small subunit ribosomal RNA
Source: RNAcentral
UAGGGAAUUUUCGUCAAUGGGGGAAACCCUGAACGAGCAAUGCCGCGUGAGUGAAGAAGGUCUUCGGAUCGUAAAGCUCUGUUGUAAGCGAAGAACGGCUCAUAGAGGAAAUGCUAUGGGAGUGACGGUAGCUUACCAGAAAGCCACGGCUAACUACGUGCCAGCAGCCGCGGUAAUACGUAGGUGGCAAGCGUUAUCCGGAAUCAUUGGGCGUAAAGGGUGCGUAGGUGGCGUACUAAGUCUGUAGUAAAAGGCAAUGGCUCAACCAUUGUAAGCUAUGGAAACUGGUAUGCUGGAGUGCAGAAGAGGGCGAUGGAAUUCCAUGUGUAGCGGUAAAAUGCGUAGAUAUAUGGAGGAACACCAGUGGCGAAGGCGGUCGCCUGGUCUGUAACUGACACUGAGGCACGAAAGCGUGGGGAGCAAAUAGG